GAUGAACGCUGACAGAAUGCUUAACACAUGCAAGUCAACUUGAACUUCGGUUUGGGUGGCGGACGGGUGAGUAACGCGUAAAGAACUUGCCUCACAGCUAGGGACAACAUUUGGAAACGAAUGCUAAUACCUGAUAUUAUGAUUUUAGGGCACCCUAGAAUUAUGAAAGCUAUAUGCGCUGUGAGAGAGCUUUGCGUCCCAUUAGCUAGUUGGAGAGGUAACGGCUCACCAAGGCGAUGAUGGGUAGCCGGCCUGAGAGGGUGAACGGCCACAAGGGGACUGAGACACGGCCCUUACUCCUACGGGAGGCAGCAGUGGGGAAUAUUGGACAAUGGACCAAGAGUCUGAUCCAGCAAUUCUGUGUGCACGAUGAAGUUUUUCGGAAUGUAAAGUGCUUUCAGUUGGGAAGAAAAAAAUGACGGUACCAACAGAAGAAGUGACGGCUAAAUACGUG
Molecule: ribosomal RNA, 454 nt
Filed under: uncultured bacterium
Lineage: Bacteria
Description: partial 16S ribosomal RNA
Rfam family: Bacterial small subunit ribosomal RNA
Source: RNAcentral